AUCCGGGGUGCGGACAGUGUCUGGUGGGUAGUUUGACUGGGGCGGUCUCCUCCCAAAGAGUAACGGAGGAGCACGAAGGUCAGCUAAUCACGGUCGGACAUCGUGAGGUUAGUGCAAUGGCAUAAGCUGGCUUGACUGCGAGAGUGACGGCUCGAGCAGGUGCGAAAGCAGGUCAUAGUGAUCCGGUGGUUCUGUAUGGAAGGGCCAUCGCUCAACGGAUAAAAGGUACUCCGGGGAUAACAGGCUGAUACCGCCCAAGAGUUCAUAUCGACGGCGGUGUUUGGCACCUCGAUGUCGGCUCAUCACAUCCUGGGGCUGAAGUAGGUCCCAAGGGUACGGCUGUUCGCCGUUUAAAGUGGUACGCGAGCUGGGUUUAGAACGUCGUGAGACAGUUCGGUCCCUAUCUGCCGUGGGCGCUGGAGAAUUGAGAGGGGUUGCUCCUAGUACGAGAGGACCGGAGUGAACGCACCGCUGGUGUUCGGGUUGUCAUGCCAAUGGCACUGCCCGGUAGCUAAGUGCGGAAAAGAUAAGCGCUGAAAGCAUCUAAGCGCGAAACUUGCCUCGAGAUGAGUUCUCCCUGUGGCUUUAAGCCACCUGAAGGGACGUUGAAGACGACGACGUUGAUAGGCCGGGUGUGUAAGCGCAGCGAUGCGUUGAGCUAACCGGUACUAAUGACCCGUGAGGCUUAACCUU
Molecule: ribosomal RNA, 693 nt
Filed under: Erwinia wuhanensis
Lineage: Bacteria; Pseudomonadati; Pseudomonadota; Gammaproteobacteria; Enterobacterales; Erwiniaceae
Description: partial 23S ribosomal RNA
Rfam family: Bacterial large subunit ribosomal RNA
Source: RNAcentral